This 67-nucleotide transfer RNA is filed under the name Marmota monax (woodchuck). RNAcentral describes it as "tRNA.Ala". The record is from RNAcentral. Lineage: Eukaryota; Metazoa; Chordata; Mammalia; Rodentia; Sciuridae.
GGUUGUGGCUCAGUGGCAGAGCAGUUGCCUCGCACGUGUGAGGCACUGGGUUCGAUCCUCAGCACCA